Molecule: non-coding RNA, 3720 nt
Organism: Saccoglossus kowalevskii
Lineage: Eukaryota; Metazoa; Hemichordata; Enteropneusta; Harrimaniidae
Source: RefSeq, a predicted model, not a curated record
CAACGUUAGUCGAUUGUGUACUAGCUGCAGACCUUGUUUAUUGCACCGAGUGAAACUGCAACAAUCGCUGCAAAAUGAGUGAAGGUGGACCGGCACCUGCAAAGAAGCUGAGGUCAGACGUGAUUUUACUGAGCUCGGAGGGGGACGAUAGUAAAGAUUUUGACGUAGAGACACAGAGGGUACUGGAGGAUAUCGACGCUUGUCAAAAUGAAAUCGACGCGCUGAAUGAACAGGCUAGCGAAGAAAUCCUGAAAGUGGAACAGAAGUACAAUCGCAUGAGAAGACCGCACUUUGACAGAAGAAAUGACCUGAUCAGGAAAAUUCCCAACUUUUGGGUGACUGCUUUUGUGAACCAUCCACAGAUUUCAGCGAUUCUAACAGAGGAAGACGAAGAGUGCCUUCACUAUCUCACUAAACUAGAGGUUGAAGAGUUCGAAGACAUCAAGUCAGGCUACAGGAUAAAAUUUAAUUUUGACAAAAACCCCUUUUUUGAGAAUGAUGUCUUACAGAAGGAGUUUCAUUUGGCGAGUUCAGGGGAACCAGCGAGUCAAUCAUCAACGUUUGUAUGGAAGAGCGGGAUGGAUCUGACGGCCAAGAGUUCAAUUGAUGUCAAAGGAAGGAAGAGGAUCCGGGAGAACCGAAGUUUCUUCUCCUGGUUCAAUGACCAUACAGAGCCAUCAGCAGAUGAUAUUGCUGAGGUUAUCAAAGAUGAUAUGUGGCCCAAUCCUCUCCAGUAUUAUCUUGUACCAGAUGUUGAAGUGGAAAAUGGUUUAGAAGAUGAUGACGAGAUGAAGAAGAUGAUGAUGAAGAUGAUGAUAGUGAUGAUGAAGAAGGAUUGGAUGAAUCAGUGGUAGUUCUUGAUGAAGAAGAUGAUGAUGACGAAGAUGACGAUGGUAGUGAGGAUGUUCAAGAGGUUAUGGAAGGAGAGGAAGGUGAAGAUGAUGCAGAAAUUAUUGAGGGUAGUGCACUUGGAGAAGAUGAGGAGGAGGAGGAGGAAGAGGAUGAUGACCUUGAGGAAGGUGCGGAGGAUGUCGAAGGUCAAGAUGUGGAGGAAGGGGAUGAGGAAGAGGUCAAAGGCGAGGGGGAAUGAGGAUUUUUUUUAACACCAAUGAAUUUAAAAAAAAAACAUUAGUUUUGUUAAUGUUGAAAGAUUUUGUCUAUUAUUUAGUAUUUUAUAAACUAUUAAAAAGAAUACAUUUUAUUUCAAAAACUGUCAGAAUCAAUCUACCUGUCCAUCCUGUGCCAUUGUACAUUGUUUAUACAUUUAAUUCAAAAUGUUUCCUAUUUAAAACUAUGGGUUGCCUAGCAACCAAGUCAUGCUUCAACUCGAUAAUUCAAUAUAAUAUUUGUUUUGUUUUGAUCAUUUUAAGGUUUGAAUUAUUACCUAGCAACAGAGGUAGAAAUCCACAAUAUCUUCUUCUUCUUCUCAACAUUAUCUGAUAUGAUUCCCGUGCGAAGUAUACAAAGCAUGUAAAUUUAGUUUACGUGAAAUUAAACUAUGUGGUGACUGUGUGUUAUUAUUAAUGCAAUAAGGAGAGUAUGACGAAUUUCUCUGGAUAUUCAUGAUGUGGUUGCCCUGAGCUGGCUUUUCGUAAUUAUGAAUGAAAUUUAGCUUGGAGCUUUAGAUUAGUCUGAAGUGUAACUGCUUUGCAUGGGAGAACAAAAUUUGUAUUCAGGGUUAUUCCUUAUCUCUUCUGCAUCUUAAAUAAUUCACCCUCCCCCUUAACUUUGCGCACUCAUGGAUUGUUCCUAGCUAGAAUUUAUUCAAAUUCAUCAAAAGCUAGAAGUUGUGUAAGAUUCUGUUUUACCAUGCUCGUCCGACUUAACGCCCAGUGUAUUCAGCUUCAAAAAUUGUGUUUUUACCAGGAGUGGGCAAUUAGUCAAGCAUCCUGAUUAGUUGUACAUACAAGUAAUGAUUUCAGUUCAAGAUGUGCCAUAUCUAGAAGAAUUUAACGUUUCCUUGGAGAAAAUAAAAUUACGAAAUGAGUUGUCAUGUUUUAAAAAUAAAAAAUGGUCACAAUGGUCUCUGAGGAAACGGUCAAAAUGAAGGUCGUCAUCACUAUCAUCAUUGUUGAAUGUUUUCGAUUGUAUGCAAACUCUAGUUGCAAAACAAUUCCCACCAUGAUUUUUUCUGCUUGAUUUGAACUGUACAUGUGUGUUAUUACCCAGAAUGCUGUGUUGUACUGUUACAAUUCUCUGGGGAAUUCCUGGAAGCAUUCUUGUAAUGCAGUGCUGAAUUGAAUUGUCAAAGUAUGAUCUGUUGUAGUUUCUUCAAAAAAUUGCAUGAUUUUUUUUUUUUAAAGUUUGUGAUUAGCAAUUUUUGACAUUAUUUACUGCCUUUAACAGGUCUUUGGCAAAGCGUAGUUUAUUCGUUCACUUCAUAUUCACAGUCGUCAAUAUCCACGCUGUAUUGAUUACUGAUAUUGAAAGAGCCAUACAAUGUACGAAAAACAGAUUUUAUGACUAGACUGUCAAAUUUUUGAAGGAAUGUGUGCUUCUUCGAACGUGACCUCAAACAAUUUUUAGAAAUGCCCCGAAAGUGUGGGUUUAGACGCUUAGUAGUAGUUCAUGGGCCAUGUGUCGGUCGAGUAUGUUAACAUUAUCUAAAUGAAGGAGCAUAUGUAACAAUAAUGGCAAGAAAACUACAUGCGCCUUUUCUUCAAUAUUGAUUUUUGAUUGCUCAUGAUCAGUGUUUUGUCACUAAUAUUGUUCUGUAAAAGCGUAAAACACAUUCCUUAUGGCAAUGAUGGCCAGUUUUUGCACUGUAAAGUUUAUACUCCCGGUAUUCGCGACAGAAAUAUUCAUGUACAUACGUUCCACAUGCCCACUUUAUCAUAGAAAAAAAUGACAAGCCUUAUUGAUCGUAAAUUCUAUGUUUGAACUCGGGCGGGGAUUAUGUUGAAGGUAAAUUUUUUUUGUUAGUUUUUUCUGAAAGAAAGUAAUUUGUGUUUUAUUCAUUACAUUUCAUAAUUUGAAAUAUUUGUUUCAUUGUGAUGUCCAACCAUCAAGUUGAUGAGUAUCUAGUGGACUUUUAACAAAUUGAAAUUUAAAAACGGCAAAAUGUUAAUUCUGACAGCAAGUUCAACCCACAAUUUAAUAACAAUUUAAAUAGCUAUUGUGUAAAUAUGAAAUUUGAUAGAUCAGAUGUCAUUUCUAGGAAAUAUUUGCAGCAUUUAACUGUUGUAUUGUUUUUUUCUUUUUUACAAUUAAAGUAAUAAAGAAUUUUUUUUUAUGUGAAUGGGUACUAUAGCAGUCAAUUCUAAAUUAUCUGAUUUUUAUGUAGGGCAGUGAAAGCAAUUGCUUCAGUCUUUGUAAUAUGUACUUGUCAAUUCAUUUCUUAGUACUGUAUAUUUUUUUUCCCAUGGCUUGUUUCUGUAACUUUUUCAAAAAUUAAAGUACAAAAGUCCCCCUCCCCUCCCCAAUUCAAAAAUAAUUUUCUAUUAAAAAAGACCAAAGAUCAUUUGUACUUACUUGAAUUUUAGUCUAUUUUGUUCAUAUUUAGUCUAGUUUGUGUCAUGUCUAAUAAGGGUUACUGCAGCUUAUUGUACCCCCGAAUACAAUGGUUUUAUUUUUGAACUAAAUAUACAUGAAACAUAAUCCGUUACACUCUUAUCCUAAGUAUCGAAUUUGUCUUUUUAAUGUAUUAUGCGCAUUAAAAUGCUUAUUUAUGUAGAUUUUAUUUCUAAUAUUUCACCACUUUAUUAAAAUACAUAUAAAAUA